This 253-nucleotide ribosomal RNA is filed under the name uncultured bacterium. Its description in RNAcentral is "partial 16S ribosomal RNA". It matches the Rfam family "Bacterial small subunit ribosomal RNA", at positions 524 to 776 of the family's 1533-position model. The record is from RNAcentral.
UACGGAGGGUGCGAGCGUUAUCCGGAAUUACUGGGUUUAAAGGGUGCGUAGGCGGCGUAGUAAGUCAGGAGUGAAAGUUUGCGGCUCAACCGUAAAAUUGCUUUUGAUACUGCUAUGCUAGAAUUAGGAUGAGGUCAGCGGAAUAUGUCAUGUAGCGGUGAAAUGCUUAGAUAUGACAUAGAACACCAAUUGCGAAGGCAGCUGGCUACACAAAUAUUGACACUGAGGCACGAAAGCGUGGGGAUCAAACAGG